AACGAACGCUGGCGGCAGGCCUAACACAUGCAAGUCGAGCGCGCCUUCGGGUGAGCGGCGGACGGGUGAGUACCGCGUGGGAAUAUGCCCUUCUCUACGGAGUAGUCCUGGGAAACUGGGGGUAAUACCGUAUACGCCCUUUGGGGGAAAGAUUUAUCGGGGAAGGAUUAGCCCGCGUUGGAUUAGGUAGUUGGUGGGGUAAUGGCCUACCAAGCCGACGAUCCAUAGCUGGUUUGAGAGGAUGAUCAGCCACACUGGGACUGAGACACGGCCCAGACUCCUACGGGAGGCAGCAGUGGGGAAUCUUAGACAAUGGGGGCAACCCUGAUCUAGCCAUGCCGCGUGAGUGAUGAAGGCCUUAGGGUUGUAAAGCUCUUUCAGCUGGGAAGAUAAUGACGGUACCAGCAGAAGAAGCCCCGGCUAACUCCGUG
This 431-nucleotide ribosomal RNA is filed under the name uncultured bacterium. Its description in RNAcentral is "partial 16S ribosomal RNA". It matches the Rfam family "Bacterial small subunit ribosomal RNA", at positions 29 to 507 of the family's 1533-position model. The record is from RNAcentral.